AGCAGCCGCGGUAAUUCCAGCUCCAAUAGCGUAUAUUAAAGUUGUUGCAGUUAAAAAGCUCGUAGUUGAAUUUCGGGAUCAAUUUAUCGGUCGUGCCAAUGGUAUGAACUGGUACAAUUGGUUUCUCCCUUCUGACGAAGCAUGAUGUCAUUAAUUUGGUGUCGUGGGGAAUCAGGACUGUUACUUUGAAAAAAUUAGAGUGUUUAAAGCAAGCAUUAGCUUGAAUACAUUAGCAUGGAAUAAUGAAAUAGGACGUUUGAUCCUAUUUCGUUGGUUUCUAGGAUCGACGUAAUGAUUAAUAGGGAUAGUUGGGGGCAUUAGUAUUCAAUUGCCAGAGGUGAAAUUCUUGGAUUUAUUGAAGACUAACUACUGCGAAAGCAUUUGCCAAGGAUGUUUUCAUUAAUCAAGAACGAAAGUUAGGGGAUCGAAGACGAUCAGAUACCGUCGUAGUCUUAACCAUAAACUAUGCCGACUAGGGAUCGGAUGAUGUUAAUUUUUUAAUGACUCA
Molecule: ribosomal RNA, 508 nt
Filed under: uncultured fungus
Lineage: Eukaryota; Fungi
Description: SSU rRNA
Rfam family: Eukaryotic small subunit ribosomal RNA
Source: RNAcentral